Long non-coding RNA from Zophobas morio, 316 nucleotides. RefSeq lists it as uncharacterized. The record is from RefSeq and is a predicted model, not a curated record. The transcript has 3 exons. Lineage: Eukaryota; Metazoa; Arthropoda; Insecta; Coleoptera; Tenebrionidae.
UUAUAGACUCCUUUAUUGUUGAAGAACACAAAAAAGUGUUUUCUUUACUUUUACGUUCUUUACACUCCAGUAAUUUGGUUUGCGUAGAUAGGUCAAGCCGGGUAACUUUGUAUCUAUUAUUUACAUACGUUUGGCUCACCUCGUACACAGCCUCAAGUUUAACGGAACUUAUUAAUGGUCUUCUGAAGAAACUUUUCGAGAUUGCAGUGAUUUUCUCGGAAACUGAGUCUACUUUAAAUUUUUUUCAAAGUGGUGUAAAGGGAAGUAUACCUCACUUUUCAAGCGAAAUUAGCGAUCUCAUUUCUCUUCACUUUGU